GGAUGUGAGGGCAAUCUGGUCUGCAACAUCUGUCACCCCAUUGAUCGCCAGGGUUGAUUCUGGCUGAUCUGCCUGGCUAGGCGGGUGUCCCCUUCCUCCCUCACCGCUCCAUGUGCAUCCCUCCCAAAGCUGUGAGCUUGGUCGAAGAGGACAGCCUUCCCCGAAUAGAGACCGAUCAGUCUUAGGUCAAGGGUAUAUGAGUAGCUGCGCUCCCCUGCUAGACCCUCCAAACAAGCUCUCAAGAAUACAAAUGUAACACUUUAAAUUUCCUUAAAAUUUCUAAUGAUAAAGAAGUAUACACACUAAAUAAUAAACAACAGAAAUAUUUAACUGCAAAGUUAAAU
RNAcentral lists this small nuclear RNA (344 nucleotides) under Erinaceus europaeus (western European hedgehog). RNAcentral describes it as "7SK RNA (ENSEEUG00000016917.1)". It matches the Rfam family "7SK RNA". From Rfam's summary of the family: 7SK was discovered as an abundant small nuclear RNA in the mid-70s but a possible function has only recently been suggested. Two independent studies have found that 7SK RNA binds the CDK9/cyclin T complex (known as elongation factor P-TEFb). P-TEFb activates transcription by phosphorylating the C-terminal domain of RNA polymerase II. The record is from RNAcentral. Lineage: Eukaryota; Metazoa; Chordata; Mammalia; Eulipotyphla; Erinaceidae.